AGUGAACGCUGGCGGUAGGCCUAACACAUGCAAGUCGAACGGCAGCACAGUAAGAGCUUGCUCUUACGGGUGGCGAGUGGCGGACGGGUGAGGAAUACAUCGGAAUCUACUUUUUCGUGGGGGAUAACGUAGGGAAACUUACGCUAAUACCGCAUACGACCUACGGGUGAAAGCAGGGGAUCUUCGGACCUUGCGCGAUUGAAUGAGCCGAUGUCGGAUUAGCUAGUUGGCGGGGUAAAGGCCCACCAAGGCGACGAUCCGUAGCUGGUCUGAGAGGAUGAUCAGCCACACUGGAACUGAGACACGGUCCAGACUCCUACGGGAGGCAGCGGGGGGAAAUAUGGACCAAUGGGGGCAAGCCUGAUCCAGCCAUCCGGGGUGGGUGAAGAAGGCCUUCGGGUUGUAAGGCCCUUUUGUUGGGAAAAAAAGGCAGCAGGUUAAUACCCCGCUGUUCUGACGGUACCCAAAGAUUAAGCACCGGCAACUUUCGU
Molecule: ribosomal RNA, 491 nt
Filed under: uncultured bacterium
Lineage: Bacteria
Description: partial 16S ribosomal RNA
Rfam family: Bacterial small subunit ribosomal RNA
Source: RNAcentral